RNA transcript from Zalophus californianus (California sea lion), 2539 nucleotides. It is a transcript of the gene named spermatogenesis associated 17, with no coding region annotated. The record is from RefSeq and is a predicted model, not a curated record. Lineage: Eukaryota; Metazoa; Chordata; Mammalia; Carnivora; Otariidae. The transcript has 11 exons.
GGUUGCCGGGGAGACCGAUAGUAACACCCACGCUCCGGCAGACGCCGGGAGGCUAUGGCCACGUUAGCUCGGCUGCAAGCUCGGUCGAAGUUCGUAGCUCAGCAGUACUACUUCAGGAACAGUGUUGUAGAUAUAUUUAGGAAAAAGGAGUAUGAUGCAGCAGUUAAAAUCCAGAGCUGGUUUCGAGGAUGUCAAGUUCGGGCACAUAUCAGGAAUUUACAUAGAGUAGCAACUAUUAUUCAAAAAUGGUGGAGAAGUUACUCAGGGAGACAAGAGUAUCAACUAAUUGUAAAGUUCGCAUCUUGUGCUAUGAAGAUGAAUCUCUACAAUGCAAUGGCUGUCAGGAUUCAGAGGCGAUGGCGAGGCUAUAGGAUUCGGAAAUACUGCUUUAAUUAUUUUUAUUUGAAGGAGUACCUGAAAGCUGUUUCAGAGACCAAUGAUGCUAUUAGGGAGGCACUGGAGGAGUUUGCAGAGAUGAAAGAAAGAGAAGAGAAGAAGGCCGACCUCGAAAGGGAAGAGAAGAAAAGAGAUUACCAAGCCCGGAAGACGCAUUACCUCCUCAGCACAAAGCAGAUUCCAGGUAUAUACAAUUCACCAUUCAGAAAAGAUCCUGAUCCCUGGGAAUUGAGGUUACAAAAGGCAAAGCCUUUAACAUACCAAAGGUCUAAAGUUAAGCAGAAGCGCUGCAUCAGCCUUAGCAGUUGGCUAGCUUGUACGAGUGCCCGUUCCUUUCCUCGAUCUGAAAUUCUGCCACCCAUUGAUAGGAAACAAUGUCAGGGACCAUUCCGUGAUAUCACUGAAGUAUUAGAACAGCGCUACAAGCCUUUGGAGCCAACAUUGUGGGUAGCAGAACCAAUCAGUGAGUUAAAGGUGGCCAGAGAGGAAUUCAGAAGACAGGAAUGGAUGCGAGAUGUAAAUGACAAUAUGAUUUCCAAACUGUAUUACCAUCAUUUGAUCUCUUCUCAAAGUAUGGAAAAUUAUAUUCAAAAGCUGGACAAAUUAUCUAAAGGUCCUCUCCAUUUUCAUUCUGCAAAGCCAGAAGGGACCACAAAGAUUUCCACCCUUUUACAGCAAAAUAUGAUCUCCAUUCUAAGCUGGUACUAGCUGGGGGCCACUCCUGUUCCCUACUGCUGUGAGGCACAUAUGGCUGUGUGGCCAGGACCCCACAAAUCAUCCGAUUUUAUAGAGGAAGGAGAGAAGCAAGCGUAAAGGAAGCUGAAGAAUAGAGGAGAACAAGAAGAAAUGACAAAUGAGACUAAAUACAAUUAAAACUUUCAGAACUGUAAAAGCCACAGGUAACUAAUUCUUCCCAACCGCUUGAGUAUCAAUACGGUUCAGAAAAAUAGAAAUAAUGAAGGUCAGCAAAACCAAGGGUGGUUCAGAAGCUGUCUGGAAACUAGCUCUGGAGCUCUAAAUUCAAUAGCCCUGCUUUAGCUGUCUUUGACCUGCCUCCCAAUUCUGUUUAUACACGGAAUAAUUACUGUACUUCUCUCCUGGAGCACGAGAUACUUUAGAUCACAAUGGCUGCUUUUGUUUUGAUUUGCUACUAUUUAAUUACAAACCAUCAUGUUUAGAUCUUUUCAGGGCAGAGCAAUGCAGUGAUAACACCACUUGUAGAAACAGCAAAAAAUGUGAUGGAAAAUCUGCAUUAAAAAUGACAAAGGUAUGUCAGGGGUAAAUUUUGGCUUCCAUACAUUUGGCAGCAGCACCAAUGACAGCAAGGCCACUUAGUCCAAUCUUCAUCCAUGCUGAGUGGCGCUAAGCCCUCUUCAAGGAAUAGCAAGACUAAAAGCCUGUUAGGAAGACUGUUUUGAGAAGUCCAAUACACAGUUCACUUGAGAGGAAAAUCAAAUUCUCUUUCAGUCCUUGAGCGGUGAAAAGGUGGCACACUAACCCCCUGCAUUCUUUCAAUAAUGAGAAAAGUAAAUCUAAGUAAUACCUUCCAAUGAAUGAGGCUAUAUCGUCAAAACUACAUAGGUCUACAUUUCUCCCUGUUGCUUUUUCACAGUCAUUUUAUCCCCUAUGCAUUUUAUUAUGAUGAUGGUUAUUAAAGAUCUCAUGCGCUCUGUGGAAAGUGUGAAAAAUAGCAUUCAAACAUUGUGUAUGUAUUUUUAUAAUAUAAAUAAGAGUGUCAUAUUAUUUUACAUAUAUUAUUAUAUACAUUCAUUAUUACAGUAAAUACAUGAAGGAAGUUUUAGACCGGCAGGGUAUAUCUCAGGCCAUUUCCCCUCAUUUAUUCAGACAGAGAUUUUCUCCCUCAGGGACUGUAUUAAGUUUUGUGACUUUUGGGGGAGAAUAUAUAGGUGGCAUGAUGUAGCCUUAAGCUUCCUCCACUUGCCACUCUUUGUGAAUUGAGUUGGAUUAUGUCAUUUCCUCUGAUGCCCUAUAAUGCAGCCUUAAGAAUAAUGACCCUGCAGUGUGGCUCUGCUGAAAAUAGCUUUUCCAGUGCCAGAAAAAGAUGAUUCAUACUUGGCAUAGGAGCCAUUUCUGGAAACUGCCAGAACAAAGGACAGAGGUAAUUCACUAAGGGACUCCAUCG